UCUAUACGUUGGUGUUCUAACCAAUAAUCACCGAUACAAUAUUCUGUCCGAUCGAUCCGAGAACUAACUAACGAAUGCCAACGUGCUGUUUGAAUAAGAGUAUACUUUGUUGACUUACGUUAUGGUUUUGAUCUCAUGACCAUCGUUAGGUUUGAUCUGGUUUUACAUUAAUACGUAUUCUACUCUGUUAAACUAUAUGUUUAACUAUCCAAAAGCUCAAAACUAUAACCUUACUAUCAAAAUUGAUGUUUAAUCAUCAAAAGAUUCAGAACUAUAAAAGUAGAUGCUUAGUUAUCAGAAGACUUAGAAUCAGGGGCUUGUUUAAUCAAGACCAUAUACUAACAAGGUGAUAACAGUAGAUUGAAACAAGAGUUGUGAUAUGGCACCGAAAGGCUUAAAGAAGUGGCUUAUUUUAUCAGUUAAACUAAAUUAAGAAACGUUGUUUUAUAUAAUCAGGUUUAUCCCAUAUUAAAGCUACCUUUGUAAAACAUGGGUUUAUUCCCAUCUGUUUACUAAAUAAAACCCGGUGUUUCUAAACUCUGGUAUUUUCCUAACUCACGGUCCUGAUGAAAUUUUACGCUGCAAUACUUUUUAAAAUAACCACCGGUACCACUUGACUGUUCAUGGCUCCCGUCCAGGGUGUGGUCGGGGGUCAUGACAGUGUAAUACUAUAUUAUUAGGUUUGGAAUCAUUAGAGGACGCUCAAGAACAUACCCAUCUACUUCAACAUUAAUCAUGUCUUCAGAGGAAGACAAAAAUAGAAUAACACUUGAACAACUUCUUCAAAAAUCUCCAAAAGAAAUAAUAAAAUUAAACUCACAUGUCUUGCAAGCAUAAAAGAGAUUGACAGCUCUCGAAAAUGGUUCUACAAAUCAUGUAACGAAUGUAGAAAGAAAGUCCUACCAAAAGAAGAAAAGUUUGCAUGUCCAGAACAUGGAGAAAUACAAUCACCACGAUUCAUGUAUGCCGUCAACGCAACCAUUGCUGAUGACACAACAUCAGUAGCCGUUGUUCUAUUUAACGAUGUAAUGAGAUCUUUACUUGGAAUGUAUUGUCACGA
Helianthus annuus (common sunflower) is the source of this 1060-nucleotide long non-coding RNA. RefSeq lists it as uncharacterized. The transcript is spliced from 4 exons. The record is from RefSeq and is a predicted model, not a curated record. Lineage: Eukaryota; Viridiplantae; Streptophyta; Magnoliopsida; Asterales; Asteraceae.